UUCGCAAUGCCCGAAAGGGUGACGAAGCGACGCCGCGUGUGGGAAGAAGGCCUUCGGGUUGUAAACCACUGUCGGGAGUUAAGAAAUGUAAAGGUGUUAAUAGUAUCCUUACUUGACUAAGGCUCCGGAGGAAGCCACGGCUAACUCUGUGCCAGCAGCCGCGGUAAUACAGAGGCGGCAGGCGUUGUUCGGAAUUAUUGGGCGUAAAGAGCACGUAGGCGGCUGUGUAAGUCGGUUGUGAAAGCCUUCUGCUCAACGGAAGAACAGCAGCUGAUACUGCAUGGCUUGAGUGCGGGAGGGGAGAGCGGAACUUCUGGUGGAGCGGUGAAAUGCGUAGAUAUCAGAAGGAACGCCGGCGGCGAAAGCGACUCUCUGGCCCGUAACUGACGCUGAGUGUGCGAAAGCUAGGGGAGCAAACGGGAUUAGAUACCCCGGUAGUCCUAGCCGUAAACGAUGGGCACUAAGUAGAGGGGUUUU
RNAcentral lists this ribosomal RNA (477 nucleotides) under Candidatus Brocadia fulgida. RNAcentral's name for it is "bacterial SSU rRNA". It matches the Rfam family "Bacterial small subunit ribosomal RNA", at positions 365 to 832 of the family's 1533-position model. Lineage: Bacteria; Pseudomonadati; Planctomycetota; Candidatus Brocadiia; Candidatus Brocadiales; Candidatus Brocadiaceae. The record is from RNAcentral.